RNAcentral lists this ribosomal RNA (253 nucleotides) under uncultured bacterium. RNAcentral's name for it is "partial 16S ribosomal RNA". It matches the Rfam family "Bacterial small subunit ribosomal RNA", at positions 524 to 776 of the family's 1533-position model. The record is from RNAcentral.
UACGUAGGGUGCGAGCGUUGUCCGGAAUUAUUGGGCGUAAAGAGCUUGUAGGCGGUUUGUCGCGUCUGCUGUGAAAAUCCGGGGCUCAACCCCGGACUUGCAGUGGGUACGGGCAGACUAGAGUGUGGUAGGGGAGACUGGAAUUCCUGGUGUAGCGGUGAAAUGCGCAGAUAUCAGGAGGAACACCGGUGGCGAAGGCGGGUCUCUGGGCCGUAACUGACGCUGAGGAGCGAAAGCGUGGGGAGCGAACAGG